Brassica oleracea var. oleracea is the source of this 95-nucleotide small nucleolar RNA. It matches the Rfam family "Small nucleolar RNA snoR27". Lineage: Eukaryota; Viridiplantae; Streptophyta; Magnoliopsida; Brassicales; Brassicaceae. The record is from Rfam.
AUUGGAUCGAUGAUUGAUUGGUUUACUAAACUGCGUUAUCUAUCUGCAAAUCUCGUUCAAGGAGUUUGAAGAAACAAUAAAAACUGAGAUCCAUC